This is a long non-coding RNA of Coffea eugenioides, 141 nucleotides long. RefSeq lists it as uncharacterized. The transcript has 3 exons. The record is from RefSeq and is a predicted model, not a curated record. Lineage: Eukaryota; Viridiplantae; Streptophyta; Magnoliopsida; Gentianales; Rubiaceae.
AUCACUCAUCCAAGCCUUGUUUUUGAGAUCUGGACUCCAAGCCUGGAGUGUAAUUGAACGUGAAUAAUUGAAGCACUAUAUCUUUUGGAAUACGAGUGAGGCGUGAGUCGUGAACAGACUAGCGUAGUCUAGUUGCUCUUG